RNAcentral lists this unclassified non-coding RNA (285 nucleotides) under plant metagenome. RNAcentral's name for it is "partial contains small subunit ribosomal RNA, internal transcribed spacer 1, and 5.8S ribosomal RNA". The stretch from base 1 to 54 matches the Rfam family "Eukaryotic small subunit ribosomal RNA", at positions 1778 to 1831 of the family's 1831-position model. The record is from RNAcentral.
GGAAGUUAAAGUCGUAACAAGGUUUCCGUAGGUGAACCUGCGGAAGGAUCAUUAUUGUAUAACCGAGGUGCGAGGGCUGUCGCUGACCCGAAAGGUCGUGCACGCCCGAGUGCCCUCACACACAUCCAUCUCACCCCUAUGUGCACCACCGCGUGGGUCCCCCUUUGGCUUGUUCGGAGGGGGGCUUACGUUUUCACACAAACUUUGUAUGCAGUGUAGAAUGUAUUUUUUGUUUUUGCGAUCACGCAAUCAAUACAACUUUCAACAACGGAUCUCUUGGCUCUC